This 448-nucleotide ribosomal RNA is filed under the name uncultured bacterium. Its description in RNAcentral is "bacterial SSU rRNA". It matches the Rfam family "Bacterial small subunit ribosomal RNA", at positions 329 to 795 of the family's 1533-position model. The record is from RNAcentral.
GUCCAGACUCCUACGGGAGGCAGCAGUGGGGAAUAUUGCACAAUGGGGGGAACCCUGAUGCAGCGAUGCCGCGUGGAGGAAGAAGGUUUUCGGAUUGUAAACUCCUUUUAUCAGGGACGAUAAUGACGGUACCUGAAGAAAAAGCUCCGGCUAACUACGUGCCAGCAGCCGCGGUAAUACGUAGGGAGCGAGCGUUAUCCGGAUUUAUUGGGUUUAAAGGGUGCGUAGGCGGACUGUUAAGUCAGCGGUAAAAGCCGGGGGCUCAACCCCGGCGAGCCGUUGAAACUGGCUGUCUUGAGAUGUCGAGAGGUAUGCGGAAUGCGCAGUGUAGCGGUGAAAUGCUUAGAUAUUGCGCAGAACUCCGAUUGCGAAGGCAGCAUACCGGCGGCGAUCUGACGCUGAGGCACGAAAGCGUGGGUAUCGAACAGGAUUAGAUACCCCGGUAGCA